Molecule: ribosomal RNA, 116 nt
Filed under: Proteus mirabilis
Lineage: Bacteria; Pseudomonadati; Pseudomonadota; Gammaproteobacteria; Enterobacterales; Morganellaceae
Source: RNAcentral
CUUGGCGGCCAUAGCGCGGUGGUCCCACCUGAUCCCAUGCCGAACUCAGAAGUGAAACGCCGUAGCGCCGAUGGUAGUGUGGGGUCUCCCCAUGUGAGAUUAGGGAACUGCCAAGC